AUUGAACGCUGGCGGCAGGCCUAACACAUGCAAGUCGAGCGGAUGAAGGGAGCUUGCUCCUGGAUUCAGCGGCGGACGGGUGAGUAAUGCCUAGGAAUCUGCCUGGUAGUGGGGGAUAACGUCCGGAAACGGGCGCUAAUACCGCAUACGUCCUGAGGGAGAAAGUGGGGGAUCUUCGGACCUCACGCUAUCAGAUGAGCCUAGGUCGGAUUAGCUAGUUGGUGGGGUAAAGGCCUACCAAGGCGACGAUCCGUAACUGGUCUGAGAGGAUGAUCAGUCACACUGCAACUGAGACACGGUCCAGACUCCUACGGGAGGCAGCAGUGGGGAAUAUUGGACAAAGGGCGAAAGCCUGAUCCAGCCAUGCCGCGUGUGUGAAGAAGGUCUUCGGAUUGUAAAGCACUUUAAGUUGGGAGGAAGGGCAGUAAGUUAAUACCUUGCUGUUUUGACGUUACCAACAGAAUAAGCACCGGCUAACUUCGUG
Molecule: ribosomal RNA, 484 nt
Filed under: uncultured bacterium
Lineage: Bacteria
Description: partial 16S ribosomal RNA
Rfam family: Bacterial small subunit ribosomal RNA
Source: RNAcentral